AAAAAACAAAAAAACAGGUAAAACAACCACUGUCCUGCUUUUUUUUUUUUUUUCUCGUAGUUUCUGCCACCCCCCAAAGCCAUCUAGUGAGAGGUGCUGCCAGCUUUGAAGGUUCCCUGCUCUCCCUGGUCCUCUGGUUCUCUUCAGACUCAUCUCGAGAGGAUGGACUGUCCCAGUGGGUCUCCGGGGCCUCCUUGUCCCUGGUUUAAUCCAGGAGCACCCGCC
RNAcentral lists this long non-coding RNA (225 nucleotides) under Sus scrofa (pig). RNAcentral's name for it is "lncRNA (ENSSSCG00025005587.1, ENSSSCG00035019841.1, ENSSSCG00055016055.1)". The record is from RNAcentral. Lineage: Eukaryota; Metazoa; Chordata; Mammalia; Artiodactyla; Suidae.